AUGUGCCGCGCCUAGACUGCGGUUCCGAGCGCGCCUUGCACACCCACCUGACGAUUGCCCGCUACGUGUUGGUAGCC
RNAcentral lists this small RNA (77 nucleotides) under Xanthomonas sp. 3793. RNAcentral's name for it is "sRNA sX9". It matches the Rfam family "Xanthomonas sRNA sX9". Lineage: Bacteria; Pseudomonadati; Pseudomonadota; Gammaproteobacteria; Lysobacterales; Lysobacteraceae. RNAcentral also lists the same sequence under 1 other name. The record is from RNAcentral.